GACGAACGCUGGCGGCGUGCCUAAUACAUGCAAGUAGAACGCUGAAGAGAGGAGCUUGCUCUUCUUGGAUGAGUUGCGAACGGGUGAGUAACGCGUAGGUAACCUGCCUUGUAGCGGGGGAUAACUAUUGGAAACGAUAGCUAAUACCGCAUAACAAUGGAUGACACAUGUCAUUUAUUUGAAAGGGGCAAUUGCUCCACUACAAGAUGGACCUGCGUUGUAUUAGCUAGUAGGUGAGGUAACGGCUCACCUAGGCGACGAUACAUAGCCGACCUGAGAGGGUGAUCGGCCACACUGGGACUGAGACACGGCCCAGACUCCUACGGGAGGCAGCAGUAGGGAAUCUUCGGCAAUGGGGGCAACCCUGACCGAGCAACGCCGCGUGAGUGAAGAAGGUUUUCGGAUCGUAAAGCUCUGUUGUAAGUCAAGAACGAGUGUGAGAGUGGAAAGUUCACACUGUGACGGUAGCUUACCAGAAAGGGACGGCUAACUACGUGCCAGCAGCCGCGGUAAUACGUAGGUCCCGAGCGUUGUCCGGAUUUAUUGGGCGUAAAGCGAGCGCAGGCGGUUUGAUAAGUCUGAAGUUAAAGGCUGUGGCUCAACCAUAGUUCGCUUUGGAAACUGUCAAACUUGAGUGCAGAAGGGGAGAGUGGAAUUCCAUGUGUAGCGGUGAAAUGCGUAGAUAUAUGGAGGAACACCGGUGGCGAAAGCGGCUCUCUGGCUUGUAACUGACGCUGAGGCUCGAAAGCGUGGGGAGCAAACAGGAUUAGAUACCCGGGUAGUCCACGCCGUAAACGAUGAGUGCUAGGUGUUAGACCCUUUCCGGGGUUUAGUGCCGUAGCUAACGCAUUAAGCACUCCGCCUGGGGAGUACGACCGCAAGGUUGAAACUCAAAGGAAUUGACGGGGGCCCGCACAAGCGGUGGAGCAUGUGGUUUAAUUCGAAGCAACGCGAAGAACCUUACCAGGUCUUGACAUCCCUCUGACCGCUCUAGAGAUAGAGUUUUCCUUCGGGACAGAGGUGACAGGUGGUGCAUGGUUGUCGUCAGCUCGUGUCGUGAGAUGUUGGGUUAAGUCCCGCAACGAGCGCAACCCCUAUUGUUAGUUGCCAUCAUUCAGUUGGGCACUCUAGCGAGACUGCCGGUAAUAAACCGGAGGAAGGUGGGGAUGACGUCAAAUCAUCAUGCCCCUUAUGACCUGGGCUACACACGUGCUACAAUGGUUGGUACAACGAGUCGCAAGCCGGUGACGGCAAGCUAAUCUCUUAAAGCCAAUCUCAGUUCGGAUUGUAGGCUGCAACUCGCCUACAUGAAGUCGGAAUCGCUAGUAAUCGCGGAUCAGCACGCCGCGGUGAAUACGUUCCCGGGCCU
Molecule: ribosomal RNA, 1369 nt
Filed under: uncultured bacterium
Lineage: Bacteria
Description: bacterial SSU rRNA
Rfam family: Bacterial small subunit ribosomal RNA
Source: RNAcentral